Long non-coding RNA from Leopardus geoffroyi (Geoffroy's cat), 426 nucleotides. RefSeq lists it as uncharacterized. The record is from RefSeq and is a predicted model, not a curated record. The transcript is spliced from 3 exons. Lineage: Eukaryota; Metazoa; Chordata; Mammalia; Carnivora; Felidae.
GUCGCCCUUAAAGAGCCAGUGCCACCCCGGCCGUCGCCCGUGCCACCCGCUGCACCCACAGACCUCGCCUGGGCCGGUGCCCACAGAGCAACACCUCCCACCAAGAGGGAUUUUUCCGUGUCUGCGCUGUGGAACACUGAGCACCCCACGACUUCUCUCAUUGUACUCUGUGGUCUCAUGCCUCUGAGGACAGACCGCACGGCCACAGCAGAAAACCUAACGUGAACGUGGAGCAGCAGCGCCAGCAGGUGUGUGCAGCAGGACAUAAGGAUCAGCAAGCCAGGCAGUGCGAGCAGUGGGAUGCAGAGAGGCAGCAGCACGUUGGAGAAUACACUGUAUGGCUUCAAUCCUUUCAAAUUUCCUCACCCCGCAUGUGGUAUUAGUGAAUGAUGGUUCAUAAGCUCUUGAAAAAGAAUGUUAGGUGAA